AUUGAACGCUGGCGGCAGGCCUAACACAUGCAAGUCGAACGAGUGGCGGACGGGUGAGUAAUGUCUGGGAAACUGCCCGAUGGAGGGGGAUAACUACUGGAAACGGUAGCUAAUACCGCAUACCAUCAGAUGUGCCCAGAUGGGAUUAGCUUGUUGGUGGGGUAACGGCUCACCUAGGCGACGAUCCCUAGCUGGGUUGAGAGGAUGACCAGCCACAUUGGAACUGAGACAAGGGCCAGAAUUCUAAGGGAGGCAGGAGGGGGGAAAAUUGGACAAAGGGGGGAAGGCUGAUGGAGCCAUGCCGCGGGUAUGAAGGAGGCCUUCGGGUUGGAAAGUACUUUCAGGGAGGAAGCGUUACCCGCAGAAGGAGCACCGGCUAACUCCGGGCCCACCGCCGCGGUAAUAA
RNAcentral lists this ribosomal RNA (406 nucleotides) under uncultured bacterium. Its description in RNAcentral is "partial 16S ribosomal RNA". It matches the Rfam family "Bacterial small subunit ribosomal RNA", at positions 29 to 526 of the family's 1533-position model. The record is from RNAcentral.